This 110-nucleotide non-coding RNA is filed under the name Neobacillus bataviensis. Its description in RNAcentral is "Bacillus bataviensis TPP sequence". It matches the Rfam family "TPP riboswitch aptamer (THI element)". Rfam says of the family: Vitamin B(1) in its active form thiamin pyrophosphate (TPP) is an essential coenzyme that is synthesised by coupling of pyrimidine and thiazole moieties in bacteria. The previously detected thiamin-regulatory element, thi box was extended, resulting in a new, highly conserved RNA secondary structure, the THI element, which is widely distributed in eubacteria and also occurs in some archaea. Lineage: Bacteria; Bacillati; Bacillota; Bacilli; Caryophanales; Bacillaceae. The record is from RNAcentral. RNAcentral also lists the same sequence under 1 other name.
GAGUUUUACUAGGGGAUCCCUUGAUAAGGGCUGAGAAUAAAGUAGCUACUUUUAAACCCUCAUAACCUGACCAGAUUAGUAUCUGCGUAGGGAAGUAGCGACUGUUUGUG